UACGUAGGGUGCAAGCAUUAAUCGGAUUUAUUGGGCGUAAAGGGCGCGUAGGCGGGAAGGUAAGUCAGAUGUGAAAGCCCGGGGCUCAACCCCGGAAUAGCAUUUGAAACUGCCAUUCUAGAGGGUAGGCGGAGAAAAUGGAAUUCCACAAGUAGCGGUGAAAUGCGUAGAUAUGUGGAAGAACACCAGUGGCGAAGGCGGUUUUCUAGCUUAUACCUGACGCUGAGGCGCGAAAGCAAGGGGAGCAAACAGG
RNAcentral lists this ribosomal RNA (253 nucleotides) under uncultured bacterium. RNAcentral describes it as "partial 16S ribosomal RNA". It matches the Rfam family "Bacterial small subunit ribosomal RNA", at positions 524 to 776 of the family's 1533-position model. The record is from RNAcentral.